Molecule: ribosomal RNA, 374 nt
Filed under: uncultured organism
Description: partial 16S ribosomal RNA
Rfam family: Bacterial small subunit ribosomal RNA
Source: RNAcentral
GUAGGUGGCAAGCGUUGUCCGGAAUUAUUGGGCGUAAAGCGCGCGCAGGUGGUUCCUUAAGUCUGAUGUGAAAGCCCCCGGCUCAACCGGGGAGGGUCAUUGGAAACUGGGGAACUUGAGUGCAGGAGAGGAAAGUGGAAUUCCACGUGUAGCGGUGAAAUGCGUAGAUAUGUGGAGGAACACCAGUGGCGAAGGCGACUUUCUGGCCUGUAACUGACACUGAGGCGCGAAAGCGUGGGGAGCAAACAGGGAUUAGAUACCCUGGUAGUCCACGCCGUAAACGAUGAGUGCUAAGUGUUGGGGGGGUUUCCGCCCCCGUCAGUGCUGCAGCUAACGCAUUAAGCACUCCGCCUGGGAGUACGACCGCAAGGUUG